AGAAAGACGUUGAUGGAAAAUAGUAAACGUUCCGGCUCAGUACAGAAAAUCGUUUAAAUGUUGGAAAAACGAUCACGGCUAAACGUUGAAUUCACUUCCGGAGUCGACUUUGGGCGUAAAUACAAAAAAAGUUCCGGCACAGACCGUUACCCUGACUGAGUGUAUAAGUGAUUUCGAUUGCUUAUGAACUAGGGUGGUAACGCGAUGCCUCGUCCCUUGA
RNAcentral lists this non-coding RNA (220 nucleotides) under Loigolactobacillus coryniformis. RNAcentral describes it as "Lactobacillus coryniformis T-box sequence". It matches the Rfam family "T-box leader". Rfam says of the family: Uncharged tRNA acts as the effector for transcription antitermination of genes in the T-box leader family. Lineage: Bacteria; Bacillati; Bacillota; Bacilli; Lactobacillales; Lactobacillaceae. The record is from RNAcentral.